CUUUCCUGUGCCUUGAUACCAGAACAGCACUGCUGUUUAUUUAGCACACCUGUGUUAUUUAGCACACUGUUUGUGCUUCUGUUCCUCCUGCAGGAGACGUACACAUCCUUCUGAAGCAGCUUGUGCUGUUUGGUUUUGAUGAGCAGGCUGAGGGGCUGCAGCAAGCCCUGGAAGAAGUUCUGCAGUUGAUGGAGGCCUCAAUCCCAGAAAUCUGGACUCCAGCCUUGCAGCAGAGUUCUCUCAACCCGGUCCUGGGACCCAACUCAACUGCAAACAGCAUCAUGGCUGCCUAUCAGCAGAAGAGGAUGGUGGUUCCUGCUGUACAAGAUCCAGAACUACUAAUUGCACCAAAACUCAAUAAAAAUCUACAGUGGAAACUGCAUCUUUUCCAGUAAUGAAAAGUCAAGGAAUCCCAGUGGACUCUGAACUGUUACUUUUCAUAUUUCAUUACACCUUUAUUAAAACAUUGUUGGUAUUCCUGCUGUAUUGGUCUUGUGGCUGUGCAAGUGAAUGAUCCUUCCAACUGAUGUAACUCUGACCCAUAGUUUGUGAGGCUGUGUGGCCCUGAGCGCUGCUGGCUAAAUCCAACCUCUGCCACUACUCUUCCCUCCCUUCUGAGUGAAGCAAAUCCCCCCCUGCUCCAUGGG
RNAcentral lists this long non-coding RNA (647 nucleotides) under Gallus gallus (chicken). RNAcentral describes it as "long non-coding RNA NONGGAT012070". The record is from RNAcentral. Lineage: Eukaryota; Metazoa; Chordata; Aves; Galliformes; Phasianidae.